This 85-nucleotide transfer RNA is filed under the name Caudoviricetes sp. Its description in RNAcentral is "tRNA-Ser". It matches the Rfam family "tRNA". From Rfam's summary of the family: Transfer RNA (tRNA) molecules are approximately 80 nucleotides in length. Their secondary structure includes four short double-helical elements and three loops (D, anti-codon, and T loops). The record is from RNAcentral. Lineage: Duplodnaviria; Heunggongvirae; Uroviricota; Caudoviricetes.
UGCCGUGUGUCCGGGUUGGUGAGGAAGCAGUCUUGAAAACUGUUGGUCUGAAAGGACUUGCACGUUCGAAUCGUGUGCACGGCGU